UACAUAGGGUGCAAGCGUUAUCCGGAAUUAUUGGGCGUAAAGAGCUCGUAGGCGGUUUGUCGCGUCUGCUGUGAAAACUGGGGGCUCAACCCCCAGCCUGCAGUGGGUACGGGCAGACUAGAGUGCGGUAGGGGAGAUUGGAAUUCCUGGUGUAGCGGUGAAAUGCGCAGAUAUCAGGAGGAACACCGGUGGCGAAGGCGGGUCUCUGGGCCGAUACUGACGCUGAGGAGCGAAAGCGUGGGGAGCGAACAGG
RNAcentral lists this ribosomal RNA (253 nucleotides) under uncultured bacterium. Its description in RNAcentral is "partial 16S ribosomal RNA". It matches the Rfam family "Bacterial small subunit ribosomal RNA", at positions 524 to 776 of the family's 1533-position model. The record is from RNAcentral.